GACAGCUGGGAAGUCGGGAUUGAAUGAGCUCCGACUGGGGAAAUAUGUUAUGAACAGUCGUCCAACUCAGAACUGUAAAUUCGGACUCUUUCUAGAGCUUCAACCACAAGCUCAAUGACAUCAUCAUGAUUCUACCUUGUUUUUUUCAGAGUUCCCAGUUGUUUUGAAAGCACCAUAAAUCCAGAGAAUGCCAGACUUUGGAUGACAAAAUUUGCCCACGAAGGACCGUCCUGCCCCCUUCCUGUUCAAGUGGGCACAGCACAAGAGGUUCACGGAGUUCACCUGAAAACCAAGAGGAUGAGUCAGGAAAGGCUAAGACCAUGUUGGCUACCAAGCACUCGGUGGCCACACUGGACCUCUCAUCAGCACAGGAAUAAUUCAGCCUGAAAAACCCUAAUGACUAAAGCUAAUGAUGAUGACCUAUAGUAGCCUACUUGCAAUUAAACCGGUACACACCCUAAGGUCAACACAAUGUCAAAAUAGGAAAUUAUGUAUUAAUUUAAUCAACUUGUCAAUUCUCUGCACCACGGCUUCUAUUUGUAAAGCAGGUAAACUUCAGCGGCAUCAAGCGUCAGAGAAGUGCUGUCCUAGAGACCCCUUUGUUAAUGAUCUUUGCUGUGGUCACUGACGAACGGAGCUUUAAGAAUCUCAGGGUGUUUCAAUGAAUCUCAGGGUGUUUUAAUGAAUCUCAUUUGGACUUGGGAGGAGAUACUGGAUGGAGAAGGACCCUGGAUGCAGCCGGGGUAAUAUCGCCGCCCCAAGGCAGAGCUGGAGGCAGCCAAAGCGGAGAGGCGGCGGUUUGAAGAAGCAGCACGGCAGCACGGCUGGAAGCCCGAGAGGCAGCCCGUUACCAUUUGCACACGGAGAGUGUGGCAAAGCCAGGUAGGAGACCUGCGCCAACUCCCUGUGGUUACUGUGGAGAGAGAGGGCUUCGUACUGGUAAGGCACCAUGUUAUGCGGUUGAGCGCACGGUGUCCCCAGUAUGCGUGCUUAGCCCGGUGCGCUACAUCCCAGCUCUCCGCACUGU
Molecule: long non-coding RNA, 1027 nt
Organism: Oncorhynchus keta (chum salmon)
Lineage: Eukaryota; Metazoa; Chordata; Actinopteri; Salmoniformes; Salmonidae
Exons: 3
Source: RefSeq, a predicted model, not a curated record